RNAcentral lists this ribosomal RNA (505 nucleotides) under uncultured bacterium. Its description in RNAcentral is "SSU rRNA". It matches the Rfam family "Bacterial small subunit ribosomal RNA", at positions 26 to 518 of the family's 1533-position model. The record is from RNAcentral.
AGGACGAACGCUGGCGGCGCGCUUAACACAUGCAAGUCGAGCGAGAACCUUUCCUUCGGGAUUGGGGACAGCGGCGAACGGGUGAGUAACACGUGGGUAAUCUGCCCUUGACAUCGGGAUAGCCCGGGGAAACCCGGAUUAAUACCGAAUAGCCUCCGGAGCCCUCGGGCGCCGGAGAAAAGGUAGCUUCGGCCUCUGGUCAAGGAUGAGCCCGCGGCGGAUUAGCUUGUUGGCGGGGUAAUGGCCCACCAAGGCGACGAUCCGUAGCUGGUCUGAGAGGACGAUCAGCCACACUGGGACUGAGACACGGCCCAGACUCCUACGGGAGGCAGCAGUGGGGAAUCUUGCGCAAAUGCGGGAAACCGUGACGCAGCGACGCCGCGUGGGGGAAGAAGGCCUUCGGGUUGUAAACCUCUUUCAGGAGGGACGAAGCUACUCGGGUUAAUAGCUCAGAGGGUGACGGUACCUUCAGAAGAAGCCCGGCUAACUACGUGCCAGCAGCCGC